Molecule: ribosomal RNA, 457 nt
Filed under: uncultured bacterium
Lineage: Bacteria
Description: bacterial SSU rRNA
Rfam family: Bacterial small subunit ribosomal RNA
Source: RNAcentral
UUGAACGCUGGCGGCGUGCUUAACACAUGCAAGUCGAACGAGAAAGGGACUUCGGUCCUGAGUAGAGUGGCGCACGGGUGAGUAUACCAUAGAUAAUGUACCUCUUAGUUCGGGAUAGCCACUGGAAACGGUGAUUAAUACCGGAUACUCCUUCUUACUCUAAGGUAAGUCGGGAAAGUUUUUUCGCUAAGAGAUCAGUCUAUGUCCUAUCAGCUAGUUGGUGAGGUAAUGGCUCACCAAGGCUAUGACGGGUAUCUGGUUUGAGAGGAUGAUCAGACACACUGGAACUGAGACACGGUCCAGACUCCUACGGGAGGCAGCAGUGAGGAAUAUUGCACAAUGGAGGAAACUCUGAUGCAGCAACGCCGCGUGGAGGAUGACGCAUUUCGGUGUGUAAACUCCUUUUAAGAGGGAAGAUAAUGACGGUACCUCUUGAAUAAGCACCGGCUAACUCCGU